RNAcentral lists this small nuclear RNA (284 nucleotides) under Sorex araneus (European shrew). Its description in RNAcentral is "7SK RNA (ENSSARG00000018862.1)". It matches the Rfam family "7SK RNA". Rfam says of the family: 7SK was discovered as an abundant small nuclear RNA in the mid-70s but a possible function has only recently been suggested. Two independent studies have found that 7SK RNA binds the CDK9/cyclin T complex (known as elongation factor P-TEFb). P-TEFb activates transcription by phosphorylating the C-terminal domain of RNA polymerase II. Lineage: Eukaryota; Metazoa; Chordata; Mammalia; Eulipotyphla; Soricidae. The record is from RNAcentral.
GGAUGUAACAGCAAUCUGGCUAUGAUAUUUGUCACCACCAGGGAUGAUUGUCUGAUAUGAAUACUAGUUGUGUAUCACCUUUCUCCCUCACCACUUCCUGUGUGUCCUUCCCCAGAUUACAUUCUCAGUGGAAGAGGAUACUAUGACUUGAAUAGAGAUGGAGCAUUCUUUGGUUGUGGGUAUACGAGUAGUUGUGCUCUCCAGCUUCAAACAAACUCUCAGUAUCAUAAAAAUAACAUGACUGUAACAAAUAAAUUAUGAUAAUUUUAAAAAUUAUCAAAAAU